RNAcentral lists this ribosomal RNA (269 nucleotides) under uncultured bacterium. RNAcentral's name for it is "partial 16S ribosomal RNA". It matches the Rfam family "Bacterial small subunit ribosomal RNA", at positions 333 to 599 of the family's 1533-position model. The record is from RNAcentral.
GGCAACCUACGGGACGCAGCAGUGAGGAAUAUUGGUCAAUGGCCGCAGGGCUGAACCAGCCAAGUCGCGUGAGGGAUGACGGUCCUAUGGAUUGUAAACCUCUUUUGUCAGGGAGCAAAGGGCGCCACGUGUGGCGUUUUGCGAGUACCUGAAGAAAAAGCAUCGGCUAACUCCGUGCCAGCAGCCGCGGUAAUACAGAGGAUGCGAGCGUUAUCCGGAUUUAUUGGGUUUAAAGGGUGCGCAGGCGGAAUGUCAAGUGAGCGGUAAAA